Molecule: ribosomal RNA, 429 nt
Filed under: Bacteroidota bacterium
Lineage: Bacteria; Pseudomonadati; Bacteroidota
Description: Bacteroidetes bacterium partial 16S ribosomal RNA
Rfam family: Bacterial small subunit ribosomal RNA
Source: RNAcentral
UAGGGAAUCUUCCGCAAUGGACGCAAGUCUGACGGAGCAACGCCGCGUGAGUGAAGAAGGAUUUCGGUUCGUAAAACUCUGUUGUUAGAGAAGAACAGCGCAUAGAGUAACUGUUAUGCGUGUGACGGUAUCUAACCAGAAAGCCACGGCUAACUACGUGCCAGCAGCCGCGGUAAUACGUAGGUGGCAAGCGUUGUCCGGAUUUAUUGGGCGUAAAGCGAGCGCAGGCGGUCAAUUAAGUCUGAUGUGAAAGCCCCCGGCUCAACCGGGGAGGGUCAUUGGAAACUGGUUGACUUGAGUGCAGAAGAGGAGAGGGGAAUUCCAUGUGUAGCGGUGAAAUGCGUAGAUAUAUGGAGGAACACCAGUGGCGAAGGCGACUCUCUGGUCUGUAACUGACGCUGAGGUUCGAAAGCGUGGGUAGCAAACAGG